This 120-nucleotide transfer RNA is filed under the name Tremella mesenterica. It matches the Rfam family "tRNA". From Rfam's summary of the family: Transfer RNA (tRNA) molecules are approximately 80 nucleotides in length. Their secondary structure includes four short double-helical elements and three loops (D, anti-codon, and T loops). The record is from Rfam by way of RNAcentral. RNAcentral also lists the same sequence under 1 other name. Lineage: Eukaryota; Fungi; Basidiomycota; Tremellomycetes; Tremellales; Tremellaceae.
GCUGGCGUGGCGUAAAGGUAACGCGUUCCCUUCCUAGGGCUUAUUUGAUCCUCCCAUUUAAUGGCAGGCGAAACUAUAAUAUGAGGGAAAGAUUUGCGGGUUCGAUCCCCGUCGCUAGUU